This 174-nucleotide non-coding RNA is filed under the name Alloiococcus otitis. Its description in RNAcentral is "Lysine sequence". It matches the Rfam family "Lysine riboswitch aptamer". Rfam says of the family: Riboswitches are metabolite binding domains within certain messenger RNAs that serve as precision sensors for their corresponding targets. Allosteric rearrangement of mRNA structure is mediated by ligand binding, and this results in modulation of gene expression. Lineage: Bacteria; Bacillati; Bacillota; Bacilli; Lactobacillales; Carnobacteriaceae. RNAcentral also lists the same sequence under 1 other name. The record is from RNAcentral.
CACUAUUGAUGAGGCGCACGGAUCAUAACUAGCCUAAAUAGACUGCCUGUAAGCGGGUUUAGGUGAAAGGGUGACGUGCCGAGAUUCGUCUAAGUUACAGCUUAGAAGUUUUGGACCUAGAGGUUAAGAGCUAUGGGUCUGUCAUUAUUUUAAUAAUGGAGUGCAUCACUUGUU